GGUUGAAUGAAUUUUUAAUACACCAAGGUGACAAUCACGUUGUGUGUGGGUGGUAGUGGAGAAAAUGUGACAUAUUUUUAUUUGAAAUUUGAAUUAGGAAUUUAGGAUGAGGGUUGAUAACUUAACCUCUUUGAUUUUUCAAAAGUCAUGUGGGUUAGUAAUUUGAUUGGAGAAAAGUCGUGUGAUAAAGGAAAUGGUGACAUUUGGAAGUCCCUUUAGUCUUUACCUUCCAUUUCAUUCAACAGAAAAGUCCAUACCGUUGAGGUCACGGGAUUCAACAUUUAGCUAAACUAAUACUGGUAGCCUUUUGAUUGUGGUCCCUAAUUGAAACGACUAGAAUAUAUGUCAUUGUGCAUUAAAGGAUCUGGAAAGAUCAUUAAUGUUCCCUUGUAGAAAAGUACACUUUAAAUUAUUAAAAUUUAAAAUUGUCCUACAAGGUAAAUGACAAAAGAAUAACUUGACAUCCAAUUUACGGUGGGGUUUAGCAUGGGAAAGAAAAAUUGAUUCCCACCGUGAAAAAGUUUUUUUGGACGGUUAGAUUAAAGAAGAACACAAAUUUUAUAAUGGUAUGUCCAUACUAUAUCAUCCAUCAACAUUAUCUCUCUUCCAUUCCCCCCACUCAUGCACUCAACCACCACCACCACCACACUAUUCAUCUUUCCUCUCAAUCUUAGUUUUCAACGCACAGAAGAACACAAAUUUACCACUGAAUUGUGCUUUAGAAACUAUCGCCAGCAAACCUAUAGGGUGGCAUUUGGUAUGCACAAAUGCAUGAUUUGUGCACCAUGCACAAACAACACUUUUAUGGACUGGUGACAGUUUUGGUGGGGUGGGGUGACCUGCUGAAAAUAAAUAAAUAAUAAAAGAAAACAUAUUAUAAUGGAAAAUAUUUGGUUUUAUUGUUUUUGGUGGUUACACCCCCCAAAAGUGAAACAUGAAGUAGUAAUGCACACCACCCUUAGAAAUACGUGCUAUCAGCUUGGACACACCACUGCAAUCACGACAGAUUUCUCACCUCACCGCUCACUCAUCAUCCUUCUCGGCAGAAAGUAGCAGCGGUGGCUGUUAAAUUCUUGGCACCCAAUUUUUAUUUUUUUUUUACAGAAAAUUAACAUGCAUUGAAAAGGAUGGAGAGGAUGCCGUGAAGGGAAAAACCCCAGCUGAAGAGUUUGAGUAGAAGUGAAAGGGGAAGAAAGACAUGAAGUAGAGGUUGUGACGUUGUGUUUACGUGCUGCUAUACUUGACAUGAAGAAUAAGUAGUUUCAGACAAUAACAAUUAGAUUUAGCAUUCAAAAAAAAUCUAAUGAGGAGUGAUUUUCUGCUGCUACUUGUUUGUGUACAUAUGAGUGGCAGCCAUUGAUGAUUGAGUUUGAAGCUUUUGGACCUAAUUUCAUGAAGAAAUUUGUUUUAUUAAAAUAUAAUAAUCUUAUCAAUUCUGACUUUAAAUCCAAAUUUAAAUUCUAGAAAAACUUUUUUUCAUGAUGUUGAUAAUCUUUAACUGCUCACCAAAAAAGUAGUGAUCGAUGAGCCUCAAUCAUGUUUUUAUUUUAUUUUUUUAAAUAAAAAAUAAUUUUCGAUCAAAAUAAUUAAAUGUCCAAUAUGCUUUUCCAAAAAAAAAAAAAAAAAAUCUUGUCAUUGCCUCCUUUGGUUGUUGCAAAAGUGAGUUAAAUGUUGCUGAAUAUCAUCUGGGUUGUUUGGCGAGGAAGAACCAAUGUUGUUGGUGUAUGCUAAGUACCAUAGAGCUUCACUAUCCAAUGGCUAAAAAUUACUAUGAUACUCCCUCUGCGGUUGAUUGUUCCCCUUUCCUCUACCACAUCUCUCCUUCACAUGCAACCUUCUUCCUCAACACUCCUCCGCCGCGUGAGUUCCGACCACCACUGUUGAAGCGAAACACAAUCUCCACAACGAAAAAGCUUCCUUACUUUCCCUCCUCAACCUUCUCGAAGCUCCAAUACCAACGCUUGCUUCAACUUCACCUCACACCUGUAAUUUUUUUAUUAAGAAUUUUUUUUCUUCAAUGGUUGGUAGAUCAUGAUGGAUCUAUUGAUGAUUAUGGGUUUG
This 2061-nucleotide long non-coding RNA is filed under the name Medicago truncatula (barrel medic). RNAcentral's name for it is "lncRNA gene26734". Lineage: Eukaryota; Viridiplantae; Streptophyta; Magnoliopsida; Fabales; Fabaceae. The record is from RNAcentral.